CCCUGCCCCCCACCCCACCCCCCAGGUUUGCCUGGAUGAUGCUUCUGAAGGAGUGCAGCAUCUAGAAAGCCCAGCCAGAGUGGAAGGACAGGACUGUGGUGCCUCCUCACUCACUGACGAACCCUUUAAGAGCAAAAGCACUAUGCUUUCUGUAAUCUUUCUACAAUCUGACCAUCAAGUCUGGAAACAUGUGAAUAUAACAUAAAUGGAUUACUGAUACAGUAGCACUAAAAUAAUAAAUUAUCUGUGCCUCCAGGCUUUAUGGUCUGUCUAUAUUACAUGAUAAUACGGAUCUUAUAAUAAGAAUUUAAGAUAAUGAGAUGUGAUAAUUCUACAUAAAAUAAUGCAUAAGAUCUUUCUGAUUGGGACUUUCAAAAAGUCUUUUGUACCAAGGGUACAUUGAUGUGGCCAUGAUGAAGGUGUGUGCUUGCCUAAGCAGUUGCAUAUUUUGGUAGAAUCUCUCUGAUCUCCUCUUUCCCCUUACAGAUGACAUGUUGCAUACAGUAUGGGCCAGGUCCUUUUCCUUCAUUUUAAGGCCUCUUUCUGUCUGCACCUUGAGUUUUCUAGGUCAGCAUGUUUGAGCUGUUUGCUCACCAGGUAGUCUUCAAUUCAAAUUAAGUUUAUAACCUUUUGAUUAACUCAGAAUUUUGGAGGAGCUCGGGCAUGAAUUUACUGACCAUAAAGGGCAAGUGUACUUUCUUUAAAAAGUAGAGAAAGUGAUACGGUAGUGCAUGGAAAAAUUGUGUGUGUGUGUGUGUGUGUGUGUGCACGCAUGCAUGCAUAUGCAUAUACUGAAGAACAGAAGAAUAGAGGUGCUGUGAUUUUUCUGCUGCUAAUUUGGAUAGGAAAUAGUAACUAACAGUACUUUAGUAGAAGAAUGUUAAUGACUUAGUUUUUAGAUGUUGUGACUGUUGGAUACAAAUGACAUUGUUCAUCAUCACCAUCAUUAGGUAUCUCAUGUAGGCAUAGUUGGAAACUACUAUCUGGAACAUACCUAGGAAAAUCCAGAUAACCAGAGCAGCUCCCAGAGGCUUGAUUGGCCAGCUGGUAACGAAACUGGAGGGAACACAGUCACUUUUCAAGUUGAAAUUUUUCCUUCACCAAAGUAAGACAAAGGAAAGCUUUUCCAUUCAAGAAAGGUUAAGAGUGUCAGCUAUUUGACAGAAGCUGACCAUUGAAAAGUUUUUCUGCAGUGUAGAAACCAAGAGCCCUGAUUGUGAGCACCAGUCUCCUUGUAGUGGGUGUGGCUGGCUGCCCAGGUGGUCCAGGGGAGCUCCCCACACUUUUCCUUCCUCCUGUGACGCUUGGUUAAGUGUUAGUUCUGUGUACAUUUUGCAUGUUAACUCCUUACCAGAUGUAUGGUUUGCAUGUAUUUUCUCUCAUUUGCUGGGCUGUCUCUUUACUCUGUUGACUGUUUCCUUGCUUGCUUUCUGCUCUGAGGCAGUCCCAUUUGUCUGUUUCGGUUUUUAUUGCCUGUCCUCAUGAGGUCAUACCCAAAACAUCGUCACCUAGGCCCAGAGCUACAGAAGGAGAAUCUAUGAAGUAGCAGUCUUAUGGGUCAUUCAGGACACCAAAGGUCAUCCCACAGAGUUAACUGCACAGUUUGUGAAUGGAGCACUUGUUAACAUUUCUCAGCGGCUUCUCACUGGUAGAACAGGCGUUAGUUUAAAAUUUUUUGUUACUAUUUUGUGUUUGGGUGUGUGUAUGCUCGUUCCUGAAUAAGGCAAUGGGAAAUCAACUGCUUAGUGGGCAAAUUCUUCAUAUUUUUUUUUAAGACUGAUUUUCAUGAUCUGUCAAAUGAGAAAUUACACAAGAUCUGCCUCACAGGCUGUACAUUUCCUUCAUUACAUUGUUUUGAUUUGCAUAAACAUGACCUAUCAUGUAAAGUGAUUUUGCAUUAUUUUUUAUAUGUUGAGCCCACUUUUGAGUUACAGCAAGAACAGUAGUGAAGAUCUGCUUUUCAUCCAGUUUGACUGAAGUGUCCUUUUGUCAUCCUUUUCAUUUGCGUAUUGUAUUUAAAUGUCAGACUGUAGAGACAGCUAAAGGAGCAUCUUUUUUAAAAACAUUGCUACAGGCAUAACAUGUUCUAGAUAAUAUUUGUGUUUGCUUUCCUGCCCAUUGAGGUGAGCUACCAUUGAGCAUGCCGGUUACAAUGGACCCAGGGACUUUUCUUUGGAGCUGCCAUUCCAUGAAAAGGACACUCCGGACACAGGCCCGCCCAGGAGACUUCAUCUGCGCCGAGUGUGGGAAGAGCUUCCACCAGCCCAGCCACCUCAGGGCCCACAUGCGAGCGCACACAGGGGAGAGACCAUGCUAACACAGGGACUGUGCAGACAGUGCCCCUCAGAAAGGGAACCUAGAGACACACUCCAGCGCCCCUGGGCACCCUGCGAUGGCCAUUGGCAGUGUCCUCACAGAUGUCCCGGCAGCCUCCCGGCAGUGACCAUGUGCACCUCGAGGGAGGAAGAACUGCAGGUCUCCUGGCCAGACACCUCAGACCGCCCGCCGAGCUGCUGCCCUGGAGCAGAGACUGAGGGAGAUGCCUCUCCCCACUAGACAUUUAGAGCAGUGACAACGCUAUGCCUAGGAUUCCCUGUAGAUCUCACACAUGCAUAUAUGUGCUCUUCAAGCAUAGCCCGUGUUUUCUUACCAUAACCAGUGGUACUAGCAGGCACAGUGGGAGCUCAAGGCAUCUGUGUUAUUCAAGACAAAUUUGAGACACUGGAACAAAGAUACUUGUGUGUGUUGGAUGGAGCGGAGAAGCUAAGCACUGUAGGAGGAGCUCCUGUGACCAGAAGGACUGCCGUGGUGGAUGUCAGGACAAUGAUUGAGGUUGAUGAAGUAUUAGCACUACUGCCUCUCCGUAUCUUAGUUGGUAUUUAAAAUAAUAAAUAAAGAGAGGAGGGAGGUGGCAGUCAGUGUUGUGGGGAAAUCAGGAGUGAAAUGGGGUGGUGACAAGAUCCUAAUCAGUCACAGGUUCGACCAUUUCAGCCUUGGGGCCAUUGCAUUUCCCAUGUGCUGGCCCUGCAUUUCCACCCUCCGUGCUGAGUCUGGCAGAGGACACUUGUCUGUGGGAAAGUGUAUGUUCUGAUUUGGAAAAGAGCUAGUUGAACACUAAGAAAAGCAGGCUUCUUUGUUUAUUCUCAGGACCUUUUUGUAACAGGGCUACAUUCUGCAAACUGCUCACAAAGGAAGACUAUGCGUUUUAACAAAUUACUUAGCCACUGAAUCCUCCCAAUUUGGGCCUGUUUUAUUAAUGUCAGAAGAAUCCCUGAGUAGAUUUGGGGGCCCUAGAUCACUAGGGUACUAAUGCUCUGGAACCUUCUGCUCUCCACCUCCCCUGCCCUAUUCCUCCUCUGCACCAUCCCAGCAAGUAGGUGUCUUUCCGCCUUGGGCCAAGUGACCUCCGCAGGAUGAGUAACUUCAUUUGUUGAGCGUGGAGGUCACCAAGCCCUUGGGUGGGGGAUGGCUUUAUAUACCUCUUCCUCAGUAAUGCAAAUGCAAGUUUUGGUGGUGGGGUUAGGCCCAUAUCAAAGGAUCUUAUACCAUGCAGUGUACGCAAUUUAAAUUGUAUUCUACAGAUAUAAAUAUUUUCUUUUUCUAUUGCCGUGACACUAUGUGUGAUGGUAAUAUUUCUGAGAGUUUCAGAUUUUUGCACAUAUGAUUUUAUGCAUUAUCAAAAGUUACUGCUGCCUUGAAUGAAAAUGUUCUGUGAAAUUUUUUGCAAAAGCUUUACUAGGUUUUUUUAAUUGUGAAAUUUUGUAAAGGCAGGAAAUGAUUAAAAUGAGCAUGCUAAAUAUAUUUUUCAAAAAGCAAUAAUUUUACAUGUACAGAAAUUAUCCUAACCUUUAAUACUGGUGAGAGCGACAGUUUACUUAAUACAGUGAUGGAUUAGUGCAGUUUUUGUAGAAAAUGGGCUUCUGAUACAAAGACUUGUUUAAACACACACCAACACACAAACCCUGAAGUGUGGUUUUCCUGUUCUAAUGAUUUGUUGGAUUAUUAUAUUAUUAUUAUUAUUUUAUUGUUAUUGUUAGUUAAUGUUUGUUUUGAAUUCUACUUGUUACUGAGUUUAAAUUACUUGACAGUUCAGGUGACUGCGACACUUGCAAACAAUGCAAUGUAACUGGCUAGCUUAUAUAUAUAUAUAUAUAUAUAUAUAUAUUAUUUUUUUUACUUAUUUUUCCUGAUAUUCUUACACCGGAUAUGUAUGAGAAUGAGCUAUUGUGUUGGUGUGCUUGGGAAUGUCUGCACAGAUACUGUUAAGCAACUGUCAUGGAUUGUUCUGUGAGGUUAUUUGAGCAAAGUUAUAGAGACACAUUCCUCUGUCCACCUGAGAAAUCAGAACACCCUUCUGUUGAUUUAUGUUUGAUCAUUUUGAUACUUUCCCCAAAGUGAUCAUUUCUGCAUUUUCUGGCUUUUGUUUCCUUGGCUGAAAGUAAACGGUGACAUUUAGGAAUGUGAAGGGACUAGUGAUUCAGUCCUGUCUUUUUUCUCUGUGUUUUAGUUAUUAAAAGAAAUUCUGUACCCAAAGUGACACAAAGGUGUCGUCUACAUUUUUACUGUUUCAGAAGCUGCACGGAAAAGUGCAAUUGGCAUUUAGAGCUGGAAGUGUCUUUUUUCCUCAAAUUUCCUUCCCAGUUGGUCUGGUGGGGAGAGAGGCGCGUGCUGGGCUGCAGCCACAGAGUGCCGUCUGCAUCGGCUUCCAGGAGAGCAGCUGUGAGGAUGGCUGGCUUACAUGGUGAUGUGCCUGCCUCUCAGGGUGCAGAAUGAGGUUUUCAGAGGCGCACAGCCAGGAGGGGCCGGGGAUCGAGACUUCGAGCCCUGCUUCGCGCCGGACUGGAUGGGUGGCCCCCUUCUUCCACUGAGGAUCAGUAUUGUAUUGGUUUGUUAAUUUGUUUGUGUCAGUUCAACCAUAGUAUUUAAUAUGAUUUGUGUUUUCUUAUUUAUUUAGCCAAUAUGUUUUGAUUUGCUUUUUUUUUUCAAAUGAUAAUUUCUGCAUGAUACACUUCUGUAAGUCGCCUUCUGACUGUUACAGACUUUCUACUACCUCUACCAACCUGCUGUCUCCUUGUUUCCUAACAGGAUUUUUACAGUGUUGCGUCUAAUGUAAUUUAGACAAUAAAGGGUUUGGUUGUCUACACUGCAGUGCUCCUUGUGUCUCCCCUGCCCUUCACCUUGCAGUCUCGCAGCAUCCUGGCUCGGCUCGGCUCGGCUCGGCUCGGCUCGGCUCGGCUCGGCUCGGCUCGGCCGGCUCGGCUCGGCUCGGCUCGGCUCGGCUCCUGCCUGGUUUAGCUUGGCCCCUUGCCUUCUCACUGUCACCUUUCUCCCUCCCCACUCAUAUCUCUUCUCAUUUUUGAAUUUAAAUAACACACAAAUAAUGAGCUUCUUAAAAUCUUUCAGGUUAAUUACUUGUAGUCCUUAAUUCAAAGAAUGAACAUUUAAAUUCUCCAAAAAAGCAGAUGUUCAUUGUCUUCUCUGGGAAAUCACCCCCUGUACCUGUACACGUAUUUGCCUGGCUCCUAAAAGUCUCACUGCAAUCUUAGACUGAUGCGUUGCACCUGUGUUGGUACAAUGCAAAUUUCAAGCCAUGUGGAUUUUGCCUUUUUGCUUCUGAAAGUAUCAAGUGUUUUAAGAGGUUUCCCCAGUAUUUAUUUAUUUUUUAAAUCAAGAAAGACACUGGUUUUCUGAAAACAAGGAAAUCCAAUUGGGAGCUACAUGCAGUCACUCCGUAAGUUAAAGGAACAUGAUUUUGUGAUAGGCUGUCAGGAUGCAUCUUCUGACUUGGCUGCUGUGCACCGUGGCUAGGAACUGCUCCAGCAUCUCUGUAAAGCCCUAGCACACAUAGGUCUAACAGCACUACACUCCCUUAGCACACAGAGCUGGGUGCAGCAGUGGGGCAAGUUCCACCUCACUUGGUGGUGGCUCUAUUGCUUCCCGUUCUUUCAACCCAGGAGAGCAAGUACAGUUUACGGGGCAAUGGGGGUGUCUUCCAGAUCACAGAAAGUGGUCCGCAUGGAAGACCACUCAUGCUGCAUGGAAGACAGCACCUCCUGGACUCCCGUGGCCAGAGACUCUCCUUGCAUUGCUUCUUUAGAACAAGACCACCUAUCCCUGAACAAGUCACAAGGUUCAAACCCUGUUGUAGACAGAAGAAGGAUGUUCUGUGUUCAUAAGCUUGACUCUACUUUCACAAUGUCUGAAGUAACAUUUGUUGUUUUACUGCUUUUAACUUUGGUGACUUCUAAUUGCAGAACAUUUUAUUCACUAAGGAGACAACAAUAACAACAAAAAUCCCAGGUGAGGACUUCCAGCAGUGACCAGGUCUUUGUUUGCCAUGGUUCAUGCAAACGCCAGAGCCCUAGGACAUGCCUGUGUGGAGUGACCCCCUGGUCUCCCUGUAAGAGAAAUGUCCAUUCUUUAUCAACUUUGCUAAUAUAUACUUUAAGACAGUAAAAUGCAAAAGACCAUAA
Molecule: long non-coding RNA, 6473 nt
Filed under: Heterocephalus glaber (naked mole-rat)
Lineage: Eukaryota; Metazoa; Chordata; Mammalia; Rodentia; Bathyergidae
Description: lncRNA (ENSHGLG00000048222.1)
Source: RNAcentral